AGUCCGAAGAGAAGGCAGAGGAGAAAGCAGUAGAAGAGAAGGCAGCAGAGGAGGAGAAGAAGGAAGAGCCAAAACCACCAGCUCCUUUUGUUCUGUAUGUGGACUUGCAUUGUGUUGGCUGUGCAAAGAAAAUUGAGAGGUCUAUCAUGAAAAUUAGAGGUAUGCAUUUCCUGAAAAUGGCAUGCAUUUCACUAAUUCACUUGGUUUAAUUAAUUAGUUUGCUAAUAUAUAUUGUUUCUUGAUUGAUUUGUAGGGGUGGAAGGGGUUGUGGUAGACAUGGCUACGAAUGAAGUGACCAUAAAGGGAAUAGUGGAGCCUCAAGCAGUGUGCAACAAAAUCAUGAAAAGAACAAAGAGAAAGGCUAAAGUAUUGUCUCCAUUACCAGCUGCUGAGGGUGAACCUAUUCCAGAAGUUGUUGCUUCUCAGGUC
Molecule: long non-coding RNA, 429 nt
Filed under: Fragaria vesca (wild strawberry)
Lineage: Eukaryota; Viridiplantae; Streptophyta; Magnoliopsida; Rosales; Rosaceae
Description: long non-coding RNA (FVES_LNC003885)
Source: RNAcentral